This 774-nucleotide ribosomal RNA is filed under the name uncultured Neocallimastigales. Its description in RNAcentral is "partial large subunit ribosomal RNA". It matches the Rfam family "Eukaryotic large subunit ribosomal RNA", at positions 23 to 646 of the family's 3401-position model. Lineage: Eukaryota; Fungi; Neocallimastigomycota; Neocallimastigomycetes; Neocallimastigales. The record is from RNAcentral.
AGAGAGAGACAUGCGCGCAUAUCAAUAAGCGGAGGAAAAGAAACUAACUAGGAUUCCCUCAGUAACGGCGAGUGAAGCGGGAAGAGCUCAAAUUUGAAAUCUUCAAGGUUCUACCUUGACGAAUUGUAGUUUAAAGAAGUGUUUUCUGUUGGAGUUUUGGUAAAAGUUCUUUGGAAUAGGACAUCAUAGAGGGUGAGAAUCCCGUAUUUGACCAUUAUUUCCAGCUUUGUGAUACACUUUCAAAGAGUCGGAUUGUUUGGGAAUGCAGUCCAAAAUGGGUGGUAAAUUUCAUCUAAAGCUAAAUAUUGGCGAGAGACCGAUAGCGAACAAGUACCGUGAGGGAAAGAUGAAAAGAACUUUGAAAAGAGAGUUAAACAGUACGUGAAAUUGUCAAAAGGGAAGCGUUUGACACCAGUGUUGUUUUUCUGAAAAUCAAUUAAAGAACUGUUUAUGCUAAGCUGUUUAGACUUUAUCAGCUAUCUGUUUAGUUUUGAGCUUUUCUUUAAUGCACUUUUCAGUUAACAAGUCAACAUCAAUUUCUUUUGCUGUAAAAAAGCUUGAGGAAGGUGGCUUGAGAUUCGUCUUAAGUGUUUAUAGCCUCUUGCCUAUGCAGUCGGAGAGAUUGAGGUCUGCAGCGUAGAUCCUUCGGGGCUAAAUGCAUUUGUGCUAAGUUAUAGCAUUUUAUAGACAACUUGUUGACUAUGAUUUGUCUUGUAGCUUACUCGCUUAUGUUAUUUUACCUACGCUUAGGAUGUUGAUGUGAUACUGCGAGCA